AUCCUGGCUCAGAUGAACGCUGGCGGCGUGCUUAACACAUGCAAGUCGCGCGUGAAAGGACUUCGGUCCGAGUAAAGCGGCGCACGGGUGAGUAACGCGUGGAUGAUCUACCCAUGAGUUAGGAAUAACGGCUGGAAACGGUCGCUAAUACCAAAUACGCUCCGAUUUCAACUUCGGGGGAAAGGUGGCCUCUGCUUGCAAGCUACUGCUCAUGGAUGAGUCCGCGUCCCAUUAGCUAGUUGGUGGGGUAACGGCCCACCAAGGCGACGAUGGGUAGCCGGUCUGAGAGGAUGACCGGCCACACUGGGACUGGAACACGGCCCAGACUCCUACGGGAGGCAGCAGUGGGGAAUAUUGCGCAAUGGGCGAAAGCCUGACGCAGCGACGCCGCGUGAGGGAUGAAAGGUCCUCGGAUCGUAAACCUCUGUCAGGAGGGAAGAACCGCCACGGUGCUAAUCAGCCGUGGUCUGACGGUACCUCCAAAGGAAGCACCGGCUAACUCCGUGCCAGCAGCAGC
Molecule: ribosomal RNA, 517 nt
Filed under: uncultured bacterium
Lineage: Bacteria
Description: bacterial SSU rRNA
Rfam family: Bacterial small subunit ribosomal RNA
Source: RNAcentral